AUGCUGGCGCGACGAUGCUCCAACGCAGCGCCAACCGCGCAUCGCAGCUCCAGCCAUGCUUCAUUGCAGCCUCGACGCCGGCGCGACGAUGCUCCAACGCAGCGCCGGUGGCCCGUCGCAGCUCUGUCCAUGCUUCAUUGCAGCCUCUUCACCAGUGCGGCGGUGCUCGAUCCAACGCAACGUCGACAGCCCAUCGCAACUCCGGUCAUGCACUCAUGCUUCAUUGCAGCUUGUCACCGGUGCGGUGGUACUCCAACGCAGCGCCGACGGCCCGUCGUAGCUCCGGUCAUGCACUCAUGCUUCAUUGCAGCUUGUCACCGAUGCGGUGGUGCUCCAACGCAGCGCCGACCUGUGUUUUGA
This 360-nucleotide ribosomal RNA is filed under the name Triticum aestivum (bread wheat). RNAcentral describes it as "partial small subunit ribosomal RNA". The record is from RNAcentral. Lineage: Eukaryota; Viridiplantae; Streptophyta; Magnoliopsida; Poales; Poaceae.